RNAcentral lists this ribosomal RNA (482 nucleotides) under uncultured bacterium. RNAcentral's name for it is "partial 16S ribosomal RNA". It matches the Rfam family "Bacterial small subunit ribosomal RNA", at positions 30 to 507 of the family's 1533-position model. The record is from RNAcentral.
UUGAACGCUGGCGGCAGGCCUAACACAUGCAAGUCGAGCGGAUGAAGGGAGCUUGCUCCUGGAUUCAGCGGCGGACGGGUGAGUAAUGCCUAGGAAUCUGCCUGGUAGUGGGGGAUAACGUCCGGAAACGGGCGCUAAUACCGCAUACGUCCUGAGGGAGAAAGUGGGGGAUCUUCGGACCUCACGCUAUCAGAUGAGCCUAGGUCGGAUUAGCUAGUUGGUGGGGUAAAGGCCUACCAGGCGACGAUCCGUAACUGGUCUGAGAGGAUGAUCAGUCACACUGGAACUGAGACACGGUCCAGACUCCUACGGGAGGCAGCAGUGGGGAAUAUUGGACAAUGGGCGAAAGCCUGAUCCAGCCAUGCCGCGUGUGUGAAGAAGGUCUUCGGAUUGUAAAGCACUUUAAGUUGGGAGGAAGGGCAGUAAGUUAAUACCUUGCUGUUUUGACGUUACCAACAGAAUAAGCACCGGCUAACUUCGUG